ACGAUGGAGAGUUUGAUCCUGGCUCAGGAUGAACGCUAGCGGCAGGCCUAAUACAUGCAAGUCAAGGGGCUCUUUCGGGAGCACCGGCGCACGGGUGCGUAACACGUACACAACAUACCUUUAAGUGGGAGAUAGCAUCGGGAAACUGGUGGUAAUACCCCAUAACAUUGCGGUGCGGCAUCACACUGCAAUUAAAGUUUCGACGCUUAAAGAUUGGUGUGCGUCCGAUUAGCUAGUUGGCGGGGUAACGGCCCACCAAGGCUACGAUCGGUAGGGGGUGUGAGAGCAUGACCCCCCACAUGGGUACUGAGACACGGACCCAACUCCUACGGGAGGCAGCAGUAAGGAAUAUUGGACAAUGGACGGAAGUCUGAUCCAGCCAUGCCGCGUGCAGGAUGAAGGCGCUCAGCGUUGUAAACUGCUUUUGGAUGGGAAUAAUAAUCCCGAUUUAUCGGGACUUGAAGGUACCAUCAGAAUAAGCACCGGCUAACUCCGUGCCAGCAGCCGCGGUAAUACGGAGGG
This 522-nucleotide ribosomal RNA is filed under the name Saprospiraceae bacterium. Its description in RNAcentral is "bacterial SSU rRNA". It matches the Rfam family "Bacterial small subunit ribosomal RNA", at positions 1 to 532 of the family's 1533-position model. Lineage: Bacteria; Pseudomonadati; Bacteroidota; Saprospiria; Saprospirales; Saprospiraceae. The record is from RNAcentral.